Molecule: ribosomal RNA, 695 nt
Filed under: Clostridium botulinum C
Lineage: Bacteria; Bacillati; Bacillota; Clostridia; Eubacteriales; Clostridiaceae
Description: partial 23S ribosomal RNA
Rfam family: Bacterial large subunit ribosomal RNA
Source: RNAcentral
UCUUUAGUUGAAGAGAACUGGAAAGUUCCGUCGUAGAAGGUAAUAACCCUGUAGGCGAAAAGGAAAGAAAAGUAGAUCUACUCCAGAGUACCACGAGCCACGUGAAACCUUGUGGGAAGCUGGGAGGACCAUCUCCCAAGGCUAAAUACUACCUAGUGACCGAUAGUGAAGCAGUACCGUGAGGGAAAGGUGAAAAGAACCCCGGAAGGGGAGUGAAAUAGAAUCUGAAACCGUGUGCCUACAAUCGGUCGGAGCACAUUAAAGUGUGACGGCGUACUUUUUGUAGAACGGGCCAGCGAGUUACGAUAUAUAGCAAGGUUAAGCACUUAUGGUGUGGAGCCGAAGGGAAACCGAGUCUGAAUAGGGCAACUAGUUGUAUAUUGUAGACCCGAAACCGGGUGACCUAUCCAUGGCCAGGAUGAAGCGGAAGUAAAAUUCCGUGGAGGUCCGAACCACGUUGGUGUUGAAAAACCAUGGGAUGAGCUGUGGAUAGCGGAGAAAUUCCAAUCGAACUCGGAGAUAGCUGGUUCUCCUCGAAAUAGCUUUAGGGCUAGCGUCGGGUAAUUGAGUAGUGGAGGUAGAGCACUGAAUGGGCUAGGGGCUGACAACAGUUACUGAACCCUAUCAAACUCCGAAUGCCAUAUACUUGUACCCCGGCAGUCAGACUACGAAUGAUAAGAUCCGUGGUCAAAAGG